ACAGAAACAUAGCAUGCUCUACCUAUUAUUUAUUUAUUUUUUUCUUCCUUGCUUUCUGUCUUUCAGGGAACUCUAUGUCUCCAACAGUAUCAGAGCUCCUCCUUAAAGCUAAGGAGAGAGAGGGUGUCCUGAUAAGGAAGAACAAGAAGCUGAAAAAGGAAUGGGACUCUCUUCGCAAACAAGGGGCUGACAAGAUAUGCCAUACCACAACUUCUGACCACACCACUUCAUCUGAGUCAUCAUCUGAGUCCUCUUCCACCAGUAAUUCAUCUUCCUCUUCUUCCUUCAAUUCAUUCAUUGUCAUCAGACGAUGAAAGUCAUAAGGCGUUACAAAAAAAAGCAUACAAGGAAAGACAAAAGGCAUCGGAAGGAAAAGAAGUCAGCAAAAGCAAGGCAUCGCAAAAAGCACAAGAAGGAACAGAAGUCCGCAAAACCUGAAUGUGGACAAAGAGCUUCCAGUCCAAAAGACAUCGUUGCAAGGUACAAGAAGGUUCUGCGGGCUUACAACC
Alosa sapidissima (American shad) is the source of this 509-nucleotide long non-coding RNA. RefSeq lists it as uncharacterized. The record is from RefSeq and is a predicted model, not a curated record. The transcript has 3 exons. Lineage: Eukaryota; Metazoa; Chordata; Actinopteri; Clupeiformes; Clupeidae.